This 253-nucleotide ribosomal RNA is filed under the name uncultured bacterium. RNAcentral describes it as "partial 16S ribosomal RNA". It matches the Rfam family "Bacterial small subunit ribosomal RNA", at positions 524 to 776 of the family's 1533-position model. The record is from RNAcentral.
UACGUAGGGUGCAAGCGUUAAUCGGAAUUACUGGGCGUAAAGCGUGCGCAGGCGGUGAUGUAAGACAGUUGUGAAAUCCCCGGGCUCAACCUGGGAACUGCAUUUGUGACUGCAAGGCUAGAGUACGGUAGAGGGGGAUGGAAUUCCGCGUGUAGCAGUGAAAUGCGUAGAUAUGCGGAGGAACACCGAUGGCGAAGGCAAUCCCCUGGACCUGUACUGACGCUCAUGCACGAAAGCGUGGGGAGCAAACAGG